This 200-nucleotide ribosomal RNA is filed under the name uncultured bacterium. RNAcentral's name for it is "partial 16S ribosomal RNA". It matches the Rfam family "Bacterial small subunit ribosomal RNA", at positions 8 to 214 of the family's 1533-position model. The record is from RNAcentral.
AGAGUUUGAUCCUGGCUCAGGAUGAACGUUGGUAGCAUGCCUAACAUAUGCAAGUCGAGCGGAAAGUAGUAGCAAUAUUGCUUUUAGCGGCGUACGGGUGAGUAAUGCUUAUCUUACCUACCGUUUAGUGGGGACCAUGGGAAAUCCCGUGGGGAAUACCGCAUAUUCUGGCUUCGGCCAGGAAAGGAAGUCGCAAGACU